This 253-nucleotide ribosomal RNA is filed under the name uncultured bacterium. RNAcentral's name for it is "partial 16S ribosomal RNA". It matches the Rfam family "Bacterial small subunit ribosomal RNA", at positions 524 to 776 of the family's 1533-position model. The record is from RNAcentral.
GACGUAGGGCGCGAGCGUUGUCCGGAUUUAUUGGGCGUAAAGAGCUCGUAGGCGGCUUGUUGCGUCGACUGUGAAAACCCGCGGCUUAACUGCGGGCUUGCAGUUGAUACGGGCAGGCUAGAGUUCGGUAGGGGAGACUGGAAUUCCUGGUGUAGCGGUGAAAUGCGUAGAUAUCAGGAGGAAUACCGAUGGCGAAGGCAGGUCUCUGGGCUAUAACUGACGCUCAUGCACGAAAGCGUGGGGAGCAAACAGG